GUUAUUUUCCAGGGCUUUGCAAAUUUUGCUUGCCGCUCUGGCCAAAUCUUUGGAAUACCUUGUUUGCUUGUUACCCUAAUAAUUCAUUUAGAAGCUGAAUUAAUGCUCAUUGUGACCAGAUCCAUUGCUAAUGCAAUACUUUUGCCAUGGAGGGUGACUCUUCUGCAGUAAAUGCACUUGAGAGACGGUGCGGGCUGAUGGAAAGAGCACUGAAGUAGGAGCUAGGGGUUCCUUCUGGUCUCCUUUGCUUAGCAGCUGCUAGAAAGUUACCCAACCUGUUUUUUAACCCAUCGAUAAAGUACGCACAUUUAUCUCACAGGAGUGCACAAAGGAUUGUUUGCACAGUGCUUGGAAGAUGAAAAGGUGCUAGCAUUAGUACUUUGUAUUUAAACACACUGCUGAGUAGAAAGCCUUCUUGGUAAAAUCUAGCGUGGGCACUGGUAGUGUCAGGAGCUCUUGAUGGACAGCCUUGCUUGUAAAGACAAAAGCUCAUUCUCUACAUUGUGUAUUCCCUAUUUCCUGAAGGAUAUUUCAUCUCGUGAAGUGAUGACCUGAUGUUGCCUGCCUCUGCUCAUUGGAGGCUUUCAAAGUAUUAUGCAGUGUUAAUUUUCCUACUUCUAAAAUGGUGGCAAUCUGAAGGUAUGUAGGUGAAAUCACUUGCUGAAGUUCAUAUAGGAGGAAAACUUUGGUUUCCUAGUGAUUAAUUCUCACAAUACCUCCAACCUAACUCAUGUAUUACUAAAAUUAUUGAUGAAAGGCAAUUGCUGUAGGGUAUUAUUCACAAGCCAUUAAUCCUUGCUUGUACUGGAAUACUUCAGCCGACUUGGAGGCCGAAACAUCCCUGUUCAUUCACUGACAAUAAGGUAGACCAUUCAGGGCUGCCUGUCUUUCAGCGUUGUAGUCUCUUCUUCCCAAAACAGUGGAUGCUUUGAUUUUUAAUUAACGUAACAUGUUUAAAAAUAUAGUUGUGCUCUUCUGUUGCAACAGUGCACUGUAAUCAUUCCCUCUGCCUCCCUAAAAACUCUCUCUGCUUUUGGUCUUGCAAGUCAAAUUAACAUUAAAUUGCCAUAAUUUUGCAUUCUGUCAGUGGGAAGCCAUCUGACAGCAGAGUGCUGAAGGCGGCCAAGUAGAAUCGAAUGCAUCAGAACAUACAUUUGUCAUUGAGGAGGACUUAAAAGUGGUUUUGCUUCUCAAAUCUGAGCACGCGUAUCAACACUUAAUAUGAGCAUCAGCAAAACUGUGCAGUUGGGAAGAGAAGUCCUGGUCCUGCUGGUCUCGUGGAAGGUGCCCAGUGAUAUAGAAGGGGGAGAGGUAUCUCUGAAGCCUGGCCUCGCCUCAGUGGUGUCCUCUUGGCUCAGUGACUCAUGUAGGGGCAGUGAAGCUUUCAUUUUUUUCAGUGGUAGCUCAGAUGUGUUUCUGAAUUUUUAAUUUCCCCUACUCGGCUGCAUACCAGUCACUCAGGUGGUGCUGAGGAGGAACCGAGUGUGCUUGCUGUAGCUUCGGGUUUGCAGAAGUUGCUGGCACAGAUUUCUUUGCUCCUCUUACCUUGUAGAGUUUACUCCGUGUUUAGUUUUGGGGCAGCAUGAAAAGGCUGCUUUACCCUUGGAAGUUGGGGGGCGGGGAGAGACAGUCCCUCUAAUGUUUAUAUAAUUGACUUUUGUUAAAGACUAAUGACUUGAAUUGUUCAGAUUACAGUUCCGGGUUAUUACAUUUCAUGUGUAAGACGUUCUUCAUGUUGCACAUUAGACUGCUUGGCUUGCCAAGCUUCUAAGGAGGGUUGUGACUAAGUCAACACGUGUUCUGUUUCCUAGACGUAACGUUUUCCUUUACUUAAUAUAUCAGUAUUGAGAGCAAACAUGAAGUCACAAUCCUAGGAGGACUCAAUGAAUUUGUAGUGAAGUUUUAUGGACCACAAGGAACACCAUAUGAAGGUGGAGUGUGGAAAGUUAGAGUGGACCUUCCUGAUAAAUACCCAUUCAAAUCCCCAUCUAUAGGAUUCAUGAAUAAAAUUUUCCAUCCCAACAUUGACGAAGCGUCAGGAACUGUAUGUCUAGAUGUAAUUAAUCAAACUUGGACAGCUCUCUACGAUCUCACCAAUAUAUUUGAAUCGUUCCUGCCCCAGUUGCUGGCCUAUCCUAACCCUAUAGAUCCUCUAAAUGGUGACGCCGCAGCCAUGUAUCUUCACCGACCAGAAGAGUACAAACAGAAAAUUAAAGAAUACAUUCAGAAAUAUGCAACAGAAGAAGCACUAAAAGAACAGGAAGAAGCCACCGGGGACAGCUCGUCAGAGAGCUCCAUGUCUGACUUCUCGGAAGACGAAGCGCAGGAUAUGGAGUUGUAGUAGAAGAAGCGACCUGCUUUUCAGAGAGACUAUUAUUUCCUAACCAUGAGAAGCAGACUAUAAUAUUCAUAUUUAAACAAAGCAAUUUUUUUUAUUACUAAACAAGGUUUUUAUGAAUAAUAGCAUUGAUAUAUAUAUAUAUAUCACCCUUUAGAUCUUGAUUUCUUGGUCAUUUCUCAAACCCAAGGUGCAUAGCAUAUUCCCACAUUCCAUUUUGGUAGCAAUAUGCAGCCCGAAUGCAUGCAUUCAUAAUUCCAUUUGGCCAAGUCCACUUGUGUGCUACUGAACUGUCAACUAAAAACAGCUGCUCUGGUAGGUAGGGAGUUAGUAAAGAUUUUUUUGUUGUUGUUGUUUUUUGUUUUUUGUUUUUUUUUUUCCCUCCUUUUUAUCAGUGUUUCCAAAGACACCACCUUGGAUGCUGAUGCAGCACAGCGCUUUCUCAAAGUAACUAUGUCCCUCCCUCUCCCCAACCCCCGGCUCUAUUGGCUAGCUGGGUUUUUCACGUAGAGCACUUGCGCGCACUCCCUCCUUUCAAGAAGCCCGUUUUUCCACUAGAAGCAGGUGUCCAGUCCUAAGCAUCCAAAGGAAUUGCAGUGAGAGCUGCCGCUGUCUAAGGCAGGCUCCCGGGAGAGCAGGCACACGCCUUACCGCCCUGGUCUCCCUGUUGGAAGGUGCACGGCGGUUCUCUUGUCCAAGCCGCUCCAGUUCCCCUGUACCUCCUUUUAUACACGCAGACACUUGUGGGUCUAGAUCUGGAACUGUGUUCUUCAACUGCAACGCUUUUCCUCGGACGUUUAAUUGAGGAGAACGGUGGAGUUUGUAGCCUUGCCUGCCAGAUGUUGAAGGUUCACCUCUUUCGUGCUGGAUCCCUUCCCCCUUGCGGUGACGGCAGUAGGGAAGGAAGCCUGCAGUAAGCUAUCGUUUGCAAGGAUCCAGCCUCGAGCGAAAUGCCGAUUCGAGGAUAAACUCAAAUGGAUUUGACUUAUUUUUUCCCCAGAUGGGAACAGCUGCUUGUAGCCUCAUUCCACCCGUCUCCUGUGAGCACCGUUCUUUUGAUCUCCUUCCCCUUCUUCAAGCCAGAACAGCCUGUAAAUACAACUACUCCCACCUAGUCUUCAAGGGAAACAUGGAACUGCUUUGAAACGAGAUGCCCUUCUUUUUUUCUUUUUUUUUUUUUCCUUUUUAAGUUUGGUUCCUUUAGAAAUGCUAGCAGACGUCUCCAAGCACCACUGCCGAUUUCUGCGCCCCCACCCCUGUUCUGAUCUCUCGACUUCAAAGCGUCAGCUGGACGGGAGUCGCCAGGCCUGCUCCAGCAUAGCCAUGUUCGAUACGUAUCCUCAUAGUCCGGAUGAACCUCCAAGUAUGGAAGUUUCUGAGUCACCUGCUGCAACCAUUUGGGGAUCUGGCUCCUUUGGCUUUAGAUCCAGUAGCUUACCACCUUGGUGUAUCUUCUCUUCUGUACAAAAUAUCAAAGCUGCCAUUGAUCAACAGAUCUCGCGCUCCCGCCUUGAGAAGGUCCAUACAUUUGCCAACAAGGCUCAUCUUUAAACCUUCAUCAGAAAUGGGUUUUAGCUCAUCUGGAGGCUUCUGAGUAUUGUACUUUUAUUUUUUCACUAGACCUUCCAUUGUGACAACUCUACACUGUGGGAGGAGGGGACCCGGAGGAGGGCAUAUUGGAGGAAGUGAAUCUUUUACGGAGUGAAUCCUGGAUGCAGAUCGGGAGCGUUUCCCCAGCUCUGCUUUGUCUUAUCUGGUAACGCGCGCUCGCGAUCAGGAAAGCAGCGAGUCGCAUGCGACUCCUUGUACUUCAGACGUCCCAGUUGGCCAAGUAGGUUGAAGGGAACGGAAGCAACUGUGCAGUUCAUGUGCCACCUCGCACGACCCACCCUCACCCCACACGCAAGGCGGAGAGAACGGAGCUCCCUGCUCGGCCUUUCUCUCCCUCCCUCCUUCCCUGGCAUGGAUGAGAAAUGCUGGAAGCUGUGCUGCACUUGGCUUGCCCUGGCUUCUGCUUUGCAGGUAGAUGCAUCGCAGCAUUUUGAUGUGUCAGUGCUAGCUCUGAUCAGCAAAGACCCCACCACGUUGCCAGAGCUGUUUCACAUCGCGCAGGGGCACUGGGGUUGGGGGGUUGCUAGUUUCUUAUUUUCCCCCUUUUUAUAUAUCCAUCUAUUUUUUUUUUUUUUUUUUGCUUCCUUUUUGCCCAUCUUGAGUUCUGCUGGCACUUUAGCAGGCGUGCGUGUGGCAUGAGAAAUGGCCAUUAUUUUACUGACUGUAUUUGGUACAUAUUGUGUGAUACUUGAAGAGAUCCAGGGUGUUGAGCCCUCCAUUUGGAGUCUAAGCUUUUUGGGUUCGUUCUUUUUUUUUUCUUUUUCUUUUUUUUCCAGCCCCCUCCUCCCCUUUUUCUUGCAUUGUGAUGAUGUAGUGGGCAUGCCUGUCACCAUGACAAAUGCCUCUUCUAUAACUUUUCUCAAAUAGUUGUGUAUAAUUAAAGAACUGUAAACUUUUUUUAAAUAAAAUAUGUAUAUACCUUG
RNA transcript from Alligator sinensis (Chinese alligator), 4872 nucleotides. It is a transcript of the gene named ubiquitin conjugating enzyme E2 H, with no coding region annotated. The transcript has 7 exons. The record is from RefSeq and is a predicted model, not a curated record. NCBI's taxonomy places the organism in Eukaryota, Metazoa, Chordata, Crocodylia, Alligatoridae.